This 79-nucleotide transfer RNA is filed under the name Paenibacillus apis. Its description in RNAcentral is "tRNA-Pro". It matches the Rfam family "tRNA". From Rfam's summary of the family: Transfer RNA (tRNA) molecules are approximately 80 nucleotides in length. Their secondary structure includes four short double-helical elements and three loops (D, anti-codon, and T loops). Lineage: Bacteria; Bacillati; Bacillota; Bacilli; Caryophanales; Paenibacillaceae. The record is from RNAcentral.
UCGGGACGUAGCUCAGCUUGGUAGAGCACCUGGUUUGGGACCAGGGGGUCGCAUGUUCAAAUCGUGUCGUCCCGAUCCA